AAAUUGAAGAGUUUGAUCAUGGCUCAGAUUGAACGCUGGCGGCAGGCCUAACACAUGCAAGUCGAACGGUAACAGGAAGCAGCUUGCUGCUUYGCUGACGAGUGGCGGACGGGUGAGUAAUGUCUGGGAAACUGCCUGAUGGAGGGGGAUAACUACUGGAAACGGUGGCUAAUACCGCAUAACGUCGCAAGACCAAAGAGGGGGACCUUCGGGCCUCUUGCCAUCAGAUGUGCCCAGAUGGGAUUAGCUKGUUGGUGAGGUAACGGCUCACCAAGGCGACGAUCCCUAGCUGGUCUGAGAGGAUGACCAGCCACACUGGAACUGAGACACGGUCCAGACUCCUACGGGAGGCAGCAGUGGGGAAUAUUGCACAAUGGGCGCAAGCCUGAUGCAGCCAUGCCGCGUGUAUGAAGAAGGCCUUCGGGUUGUAAAGUACUUUCAGCGGGGAGGAAGGUGUUGUGGUUAAUAACCACAGCAAUUGACGUUACCCGCAGAAGAA
Molecule: ribosomal RNA, 499 nt
Filed under: Salmonella enterica
Lineage: Bacteria; Pseudomonadati; Pseudomonadota; Gammaproteobacteria; Enterobacterales; Enterobacteriaceae
Description: bacterial SSU rRNA
Source: RNAcentral